UAGAGUUAAAGCUGUUUCAGGGGAACAGACAGAGCUCCAUUCACUUUCCAGGGAUGAACAAAUGCAACACAUUAGGCAGCAACGCCAUCAUUCACUCUUGAUAAUCAGAUUUUCUUUUCCACGAGGACUGUAAUCCUAAUUGAAAUAAGAAUUUGAUUAUUCACCGAGUCCUAACCCAAAAUCUCUGUAUCCCGCAAUGAGGAACAAUAUUAGUUUUUUUUUCAACAUUGUGCAGCAAAAAAAAAAAAUUAAAAAAUUGAUUUGUUUUUAAUUUUCAGACUAUUUCACAUUUGCUUCUUCAUUCUGUUAAAGUGGUUGUUGUCUUUGUUUUAAUCUUCAACAUGUUCUUUCUCGUGGAAAAUCUCCAGUUUCUUACUGAAAAAAUGCAAAUUGAAGAAGAUUAAUCCGAUGAAAAGGCUGUUUUCAUACGAGUUUCCUUUGGCAUUAGUGCUCAAGAUACAAACGGCCUCACUGUGGCGUAUUAUCUCUGGUAGGUAAUGGAUCACUUUCAUAAGCUGAACGUCUUUGGCUCAUUAUUUUGAGGUAGGGAGGCAAAAAAAGCUCUAAUAACUGUCUUAUUGCUGUCAGUUUCCAGCUGUGUGUCUGCUAUUAUCUUUACUAAAGUGAGGGAUAAUAGCCAAUUACUAGGAAUAUUGUAUCAUAAGUAAGUAGCAAUACUUAAAUACAGUACUUGAGUAUAAUUUUGAAGUAUCUGUACUUUACUGGAGUUUUUUUGUGCCUGCAACUUUUACUUCUACUUGGCUACAUUCCUAAAAUAAAAGUAUACUUUUACUCCACUACAUUUCACAAAAGCGUCUUCGCUGCUACUAUUUUUACUUUGUUACUAUGACAGCGGGUAGGGGAAAAAACUUUUUGCCUAUUGUUGAUUUGCAUUGUGCUUGCUCAUGUCCCCAGCUGCUUGUAGGCUGUGCAGUUGCUUACACUCAGCUAAAUGUCCAGUGGCUGUUUUGAUGGUUCUCGACAUGCCUAACUUCUGUCCUAAGUUCCCUCUUGACUGUAGGAGGAUGCACUAUUGUUUCUUCUGAUUGGUGGUGUCUGUGUGUGCGUGUGACUUUUUACUUUAGCUUUUAAUACUAAUAAUUAGAGAAGUAAUAAGAGAAGCAAGUGGUCAGCGACAUUCAUCUCUCGACGGGGUGUCUUACUUUGUGUUACGGUGUGUUUGACCCUAAAUUAAUUUUACGCCAGAAUAUCCCUUUAAUUCUUGGACUCGAGUAGAAUUCUCAUGGGAGACUUUCACAUUGACUAGUCAUUUUCUGGUAAGGUAACUUUACUUCAACUCAAGUAUAUUUAUGUAGUACUUCACGGCGACACGGUAUAUGACAUAGGAUGACAUCUAAAAGCUAAUAUGCAGACCUUAUAGGUUAAAACGCCAGCGCACUUCUUGCAAAGACGGUGAUGUUGCAUUUCUCACACCUGCAGUGAAAAGAAAAAAACGAUUGUCUUCCACCGCCGGCUCCUACCUUAGGAGAGACAGGCAGACUCUCGGCAGUUAAACCACUGUGAAUGAGGAGAAUAGACUUCAAAGAUAAGCUGAUUUACACACAACUCUUCACCUCUCGAAUGCUGAUACGGGGGAUGUUAGCGUUUGGAGUUGAAGCAAACCCGUCUGCCUGUGAUGUACUGCACAGAGGGGACAUGUACUAUUUCAUCUUCCUCCAAAAAAAUGCUCCAUCUUCUCUCUUCCCUUGUACUAUUCACUCGCUCUCAUGCAAGUACUUAUAAACAUGAUGCAUGUGAUAUUAGCAUGUAUUAAAAGGAGAGAAACAGAAUAUAUACAGCCUGAAAACAUCUGCGUUUAUCGUGUUUUGCAUGAAUUAACACACAAUCAAGAAAUCUGUUCACUUCUUUUAAUCAAAAUGCUCUAAACUUAAAUACUAGAUUCCAUCAAAGUAGAAGGAUAAAUCUUAACCGACUGAAAAGGGGCUUUUUUUAUUAUUAUUAUUGUUUUUCUGCAACCACACAGAAACUGAAAAAUGACCAGCUGUGUUGGUAAAAGCAAAUUGCUUGUUGAGAUAAAGACAGAAAGUGUUAUCGUAUAAUAGAAUGUGCUUUUGAUCCACAGAGGACAUAAAAAAUGCAUUACAGGAGAGCAAAAUGUAUCAGAAGAAGAAGCUGUUUAAAGAUAUCUGAGCUCGGGGUCGCAGCGUACUGCAGGAGAACGAUGGGAUGAGAGUGGACUGUAAACACCUCCGAUACUUAAUACACAAUCGGAAACAGUUUUGAUAUUCAUUUCUGCAGACCUGCAUGCACCUCACCCUGCGGUAAAUGUUUACUCUGUUCAGAUUUGACGUCUUUUGUCUGCCUGCUUCCGAGUGAUAAGUCGCCUUUGUGAAUCUCAAAAUCUUUCUGUUUCUUCAGCUGCUCAUCAUCCGACUCUCCUGCUGCUUUUUUUCCCCUCCUGCCCCACCUCUCUCUGGCCUUUCUUCUCAUUUCUUCUCUCCUGCCAUUCUUGCUGGUGAUGAGAGGCAUUAUUUCUCAGAGCUUUUCCGCACCCGGGAGGCCACCGCCGGGCUUUUGGCAGACGUUGAUAAGGGAUGAUGCUGCGGUUGCCAAGCCAUACAAAUUAUUUCAGGAAUAAAGAGAUCAAUUGCAUCUUUUAGCAAAUCCUCCUCCCUUCCCAGACCGCUGUUCACUCUGAGUUUAUUUUUCACUGUCAGAAUAAAAGUUUUUUUUUUUUUUUUAUGGGGGAAACAAAGAAAAAUCUGAGUGAGGCAAGUUUUAAACGGCAGUAUGCACCAGGGGUCAUACCUGAGAAACUGAAAAGUCAGCUGUUCUGUGGGCUGAAGUUGGCAUUUAGCAACCGAAGCAACAAAUUAAGACUUUGAAAUUUUGUGUUUUGAUUCGCGUGAAUGAAUCAGUUUCUUGGCUCUGAGCUUUAGGAUUAGUCCAAGAAGCAUUCACAGUUUUAAGAAUGAAAAUUAACUUCUUUUCUUCCUGAGAUUGUAAUAGUAAGUUUGACUCCAAAAGGGGGAUCAUUGUCGCUCAGCUCAGCCAGGAGGGAGCCCGUGGAGUGUUUUUAGUUUAUAAAAUCCUUCUUAUGUCUGUUUUUUUGUAUGUAAGUUUUAAAUUUGUGUCGUGUGGACUUACUGAGUUAGAAGCAUGUAAAAAACACUCGAUCUGACCCAAAAAACUCUCAAAAUGAACUACGCUCAACUCCGUGACUCCGCCCCCUCAAAAUUAUGUCCUCUUUUUGGGAACUCGCAAUAUGACCACCCUAAUUUUGGAACAAUGUCAUGAUGUUGGCACAACUUUGUACCGCAUAGAGACACAUGCACAAACUGUCUCUGUGAGGCAUCCUGCACUAUAGUGAAAGAUGAAUCAGUAAGGGCCUGUGUCCACUGACUGCAUCUACAGUUUCCUUAACCUCAUUUCUUAGUGUCUCUGUUGUCCUGUGGCAUUUCUGCUUCCCUUAGAAGUGACCAGAAAGAAGUUGUAUUUGCUUUAUUUAAGGGAGUUUUACAAAGACCACAUAAUAACAGCGCAUAAGAAUCAGGUUGUAGCAUAAGCAGGAGCUUUAACUUGGAUAAUUUGCCUUUUUUUUCUCUUUACAGACCUCCAUCUUUGUUGUACACUCUGCACUCUGUCUCACUGACUGACAUAAGCAGGAGCUUUAACUUGGAAAAAUCUGCCUUUUUUUCAUCUUUGUAGACCUCCAUCUUUGUCUUUUCUUGGUCGGUAAAGAGGAAGUGACAUCGUCCUCAAGUUACCCCAAUGUCUUCCCAUUUUCAGCUGCGAGUGCUGCAAGCACAGCAACAAAAAAAGAAACUAAACAUAAUUUGUUGUUGAGUGCAUCAUUAUAAAGAAGCGGUGAUGGUUUAAUAGAUUUUUCCUCUCAUUAUGACACUGAAUCUUAUUGUGUUGUCGCACUGAAAAGCGAGACAGAUGUUUAAACAAAUCUGUUUACAGCAGUAAAAGAAAAAACCUUAUAGUCUGCGAGAGGUAGAAAAACAUUUGCGUGUUUGAAAGUGAGAUGGAGCUGCGACGGCUAAAUUGUUACUUGUAAUGUUUUUGUACUUGUGUAUUUUUAAUGAGUUGUACGGUGCAGGGAAUGGUUUUACAGGGCUUUGGUGAGGGACGCUUUAGAGAGUAGCAUAAUGGCGAUUGAGAAUUUUUCCCAUUAAAGGCGACAAAACAAGCUGCUGCGCUUUUUCAUCUGCUGGGUUGUAGACAGAACCUCCUGCCUGAUUUCCUGAGUGCUAAAGCACAUUUUUAAUUAUGACUAUUUAUCAAAGAGAUGUUCCCUUUUCUAAAAGCACCUGUAUGAAGCCUAACUCAUUUUAAAAUAGACUUAUUUUCAUACUAAUGCCUUUAUAUGAGCUACUACAGUCAUUCAAAGCCUGCAAUCAAGGUAAGGAGUUAAAAUGAUAAACAGCGUACUGCUAACAGAACUUUUUUUAAAUGUUCCACCAAGACAAACGCUUGACUCGUCAUCUAAUAGAAGGUGCAUGAUACUUUUGACUUACUAAUUGAGUCAUCUAGAGAGUUUAAUUUUAAUAAUAAAGAGCAGUCUGGCUGUAGACCUCUACUGUCAGGAACCACCUCCACUGAGAGGACCUGAGGUGACACUUUUUCUCAUGCGCUCCAGUUUGUUUGAAGUGGUCAUCCUGUGAUGUAUUUUGUCUUUGGUACACAUAAAUACACAAAAAAUCAACCAAGAAAUAAAAUAUCUUCACACGAGACAAAAAAUACAUACCUCCCCGUGUAAUCGCUUUUGAUUUUAAAAGGCUUUAAAUCAACUUCAGACAUUAAAAAAAAAAAAUCCUGGUAUAUAAGCUUUUAUUUUAAAAGACUUUAAAUAAAUUUCCAACAUGAGAAAAAAUAGAAUAAAAAUAAACUCCUCCCGCUAUAUUAGCUUUUAAUUUGAAAAUUAUAAAAAAUAAAAAAAUUAAAAAAUCCUAGUAUAAUAGCUUUUAUUUCGAAAGGCUUUGAAUCAACCCCCUGCCAAAAAAAAAAAAAAAAAUACAUAAAUAAAUCUCCUUCCGAUAUAUAAGCUUUUAUUUUGAAAGGCUUUCAAUAAACUUCUAAUGUAAAAAAAGAAAAAAAAACUACCUGGUAUAUAAGCUUUUAUUUUGAAAGGCUUUGAGUCAAUUUCCGACAUAAAUAAAAACCUUACUCCCAGUAUAUUAGCUUUUAUUUUGAAAGGCUUUGAAUCAACUUUCAACAUGAGAAAAAAAAAAAAAAGAAAAAACUACUCCCGGUUUAUUACCUUUUAAUUUGAAGACUUUGAAUCAACCUUAUGACCUAAGUACUCCCUGUAUAUUCUUAAAGGCUUCAAAUCAGGUCUGCAGCCAGACUAUCAGAAAAUAAUAUGUGAAAAUAAUGAAGUUAAAGCUGCUGUAAGGAGUUUUUGAUCGGAUAUGAAACAGGCUGAAAUGAGCAGUGAUGCAUUUUUAUGACGUAAAAGAGUAAAUGAGACCGUUUAAGAUAAGAUGAACAUUUUCUUCAGGGACAUUUUUAACUCCUGUAACUGCUGCAGAAGGGUAGGCAGGCUGAAGACACAACCUUUAUUUUUCACAGUAGUAUUCAACAUGAUUGAUCGAUCUCACUGUAAAAGAGGGAGGGGAAUUUUGUCAUCAAUCAUCACUGCUUUCACAAGGAUAGGACGAAUGAGCUUUAAAUAAUCGAAUCUUAUUUUGGACCUGUAUUUCAUAAAGCAUAGAAAACUACUUUCACAUCCAGAUGACAUCUUGAGAAGCUGAUUUCAUAGCUGCAUGGCUGCAUGCAUUACCUCAGGUCAUUGUGGUGCAGUAUGUAGUUCGCAGCACCAUAUCUCUUCAUACACCGGGCCUUUGCUUUAUGUACAAUGAUGUGGAAAAUCAGCCGCACAUCCUUCAGAGUAAAUGACAGAAACGAGUGGACAUGAUGGUGUCCCUGCAGCCCUUAAUGAGACAUGAAUGAUGGAGCAUUAUGAUGGUGGUCUUUGUCAUUUCCAGACAUGUUACUGCUUCAUAUCAUUGUGCUGAAUGGGCUGUUACUCAUUAUUGGAGAUCAGGGCAUGUAUGUGUGCCUGUGUGAUGGUGGGAUAUAAAGAAGGAUGGUUGGACGGACAGCGUUAGCCUGCCGUGUCACUGAGGUUUCUGUGUGUGGGCAGGCUUUUGUAAAGAAAAACUGCACAUGAACUCAUCACAUCGCCCACUACUGUUAUUUAGACUCUUAUUACGCCUUUUUUCUCAAUGUCUGUAGAGAAUAAAGUAAGUUUUUAAGAGAGUGACCCCACAGAGACCUCCUUGUGUGCUUUUUUAAGAGAAAAAAAGAAAUCACAUAAUUGGUAAUAUUGGAGGAAAUUACAUUUUUGUAAUUUUGUUAUCAAGACUUUUUUGUAUCCCGCUCUAAUUUUCCUUCUUUCUGUCUUUGUUUUCUUCUCGAACUACCACACAUUUUCUCUAUGCAGAUAUGUUCGGUGGCUGUGCUUAUUUCUACGCUAUUAUCAGUAAUCACGUCAAAGGCUACGGGCUAAAAGAGCAGUCUUUGUCAAGAUGUCCUUGAAAAUGGCAAUUAACCCUGAAGUGCUUCAGUGGAGCGGUCACAGUAGGUUGUGGCGGCAAAGCGGCUGCUCUCCUCUACACAGAGGAGUGUCGACUGAAGUGUGAGUGUAAAAUAUGAAGUCGAAAAGGGAAGCCUGAGGGUUGGGGAGUGGGCUUACGGCUGAAAGGUUGCCAGGUUGUAGGAAAUAAACGAAAAGGGUCCACCGCUCCCUCAGCCGACAGCUGCCGAGUCCUCCUUCAUGUGGGUAGAAACCCCAAAACUGCGACAAUGGAACAGCUUAGCAGCAAAUGUUAGAGGAGCGCUGAUUGUAGUGGGCAGCUCCCAGAUGUGGAUGUUUACAAAUCUGAAAGUGAACUCUCCUCAACACAUUUGCACACAAACUGCAAGAUCUUGAACGAUUGGACUCCAAGUUCCAAGGUCAAACUUUUGUAACUUACGUAUGCUGCAAGAGGAGGAAAUCUUUUAAUUGAGGCCAAGCAUGAAUGAAUAAUAAUCAUGUUAAAACAAUAGUAACUCAACAUUGAAAACUAACAUGUCAGUACCUGCCUUUGGACUACUAUUAUGCAAAUUCUGGCGUACUAACAUUGAUGCAAUUGAUACAAUAUGUUUAAUAACAUUAUUAAACAUAUUGUAACUUAUCGAAAUAUGACGAAUAUCAUAACACAUCAGAGGUUGGCAUAUCAUAGUAUAUAGUGUCCUAGUGUAGGGCUGGGCAAUAAACCAAACAUUUACAGAUACCAAAAUUUACGACGAUAACAGGCAACAUUUUGCACAAAACGAUAUAUUCUGUGUCGAAUAAAUAGAUAAAUAAAAGUUAGUUUUGGAUGUGUGUAGGUAGGCUCUGGUCUCAUGUCCCGUUAAGAUGCUUCUAUGUCAGAGAUGUCACUCCACCCCAUCCAGUCCGUAACAAAGAGGGAAAGACAGGUGAGGAGAUGGAGGACAGUUCAAAAGUUGUAGCGGCUGAAGUAGAUGAAGUUAAUGUGGGAGGGGUUGAGCAGCUUGUGGAGUAGUUAUCGUCCAUUUAUCGUUAUCGAGGUGAACUGAUCAAUAUAUCGUGAUAUUGAAGUGAGGCCAUAUCGCCCAGCCCUAUAGCAUUAUGGUAUCAAAUGAUAAGCAUUGUAGGAUAUUGUAACAUAUCAUAGUAUAUUCAAUCAUGAUUGUAUUUUUUUGUAGUGUGGUCAAAGAUAUAUUGUUGUUUUGUUCUGUAAAGAGGAAAUCGUUCUAGGAAAUAUCUGCGUAAACACGAAACCACUUAGAAUGACUAAAAUCAAUGCAGUGAAUAUGCUGAGCCAAUAAGUGGCGCUGUAACACUGCCAAGGAAAUGCGUUUGCGGAUUUAUGCGCUUUUUAAAAAUUAUUGUUUACAGUCACCGGAUACACCAUUUCUGUAUGGACGGGGCAUUAGCUUAGCUUGUUUAGCUAGCUUGCUUAAAAGAUUGAGCUAGAUGCUUUUUCACUUUGUUCAUCAUACAAACUUUAAACAAGAACAAUUUUAAAAAAAUGAUAAUUAAGGAUUUGACCAGUCGAGGUUUAGCCCUUUUGUCCGCCUUCAUGCUAAACUUUGUUCUAUCUGUAAGUAUGUUAUGAGUAUUAUUGAGAUUCUCGUCUUAACUCUUGCUUAGUAAAGAGGGUUAAUAUUUCUCAAAAUGUCAGAAGUGUUUGAUAGUGAGAAGUUUAUCCAGGGAUCUCGUUCCUUCAUCAGUCAUUCAGAAAGGUGGUCCAGAGCAGAGCACAGAGGUACCACUCCCCCUGCUUAAACCUAUCAUUUGAGAAGUAAAGCCUACUUGUCAGAGUAGCAAACCUAUGACCUUUUGUAUGAUUGAAACCAGCCAGUGAAUGGCACAUCACAUUAUUUGAUGUCAUUGCCUCGAUCGGUACAAUCAGUCAAGCAUUAAAUGUCUACUUUAUAGCUGUUCUGAAUGUCACUCUCUCUCCUCCUCUUUGAAAAGAGACGCUUUGAGUGAGCAAAGCUGCGAGGCACCGCACAUCUCAAUCACAUCGGUUCCUUACAGUGUCUCAGCACAAGAAAGGAGGUGAAAUCCUCCGAGUGACGAUUUAUUUAUCUCCAUAUUUUUGAUUUACUAUUGAACAGAAUCAUUGCUAGACGACAUGUCACUCGAUGUCUUCAUAAGGAUGAUAAAACACUUUUUCAUGAGGCAAAAAAGAGGAGCUGGAUUCAGUUCAAAGUCUGCCCCUGUUUGAUGAAGGUUAUCUCUGACUGCAAUGUCAUUUCUGCUUUUUCACCUCUUUUGUCGAGUCAGUGCCAUCCUUUACUUUCUGCUUCGCUGUAAAAUCCAAUAUUCUGUCAAAAGUUUAGCUUAGCCCCCUCAUCCAAUAUUCAGAUUUUUUGCUCAGAGGUUAACAAAGCUCACAUUAUGGAACAAAUGAAGAUGAAAACCCUUCACCUUAAAAUCCCCCUCUAGAAUAAUAAAGAGCUUUAACAGGCUUACAGGGGGAAACACUACGCUGGGAGCUUUGAAGAGGGCCGAGAAAGAGAAGGAUCCAGGAUGAAAUAAAGUCAGGUUUACAGUGGAAGCUAAAAAGGACAACAUUUAGGACUUUUUAUUUCUAAAAAGGUCUCUUUAGUCUCUGCUGCAAGCUAGAAAAGGAUGAAAGACUUGCAACAGCACAGAGCAAACAACAUGUACUACUUUAUAUGUAAAGAGGGAGCACCUUCAAGUCACAUUUGGCAUUCAUUGGGAGGUUGAGAAAAGCAGACGGGAUAAGUACCUUUUUUCACAACUGUGACGGCAGCAUUUUAGAUGACCUCAAAACGUGCAGCGCAGUGCAGACGAGAGGAGAGGAAGAAAACUGACAAUCGCAAAACAUCACAUUUCAUAAAGCGUAACUCACUUAAAAUCAUCCGUCUGUGUCGUAGUAAGAAUUAUCGCUAACUGGUUUGUGUUACCGUGUUUCUGUCCCUGAAAGUUUUAUUUUUAAUCAGGUAGUUUUCGCUGUAGAUAGGGGAUUUAACGCCAGGAUUGAUAGCUCUACUGAGAAAGGCUGCUCCCGCUGUGUUGUGUGCACCAGAUUAGCAGAAAAGAGGAGUCACUGCAGAGUUUAAGGAGCUGAUCCGUGCCCGUUUGAGCGUUUGAGUUGAUGCUCAUGUUUCCACGGGGAGCGCCGGUGUCCCGGAAGCCUCUUCCUGCUCGAGACAUGCGUCAAGCAGGAAGGGAGAUCAACCUCAUUAUGAAGUAAAACAUGGAAAAAACACAAUUCGGUUUGUUUCAAAAUAGAACAUCAUGUAUGACCUUGGUAACGGCACAAGAAAUAGAACAUAUUUAUAAACAUAAAACCUUACAUAGAAAAACUCAGCAAUCAUGUAUUGCAUUUAACUAUAGUAGACACACGAAGGCAACAAGUGAACAGUAAAUCAAAUAUGAUCAUAUCACAGUAUAAGUCAUUUCAUAUCACUGUAACAGUAGAUAUCGUAUGUUUUCCCCUCUGUAAAUUCAAUUACUGGUUUAAAAAUAACCGUACUAUCACAUUUUUUCAUUUUCCUUUUAUUUUGAAACUUGGAUUUGUAAAUAAAUGCAAACAAAUUGCCCGACCAGUCUGGCGAUUUUUUAAUCAUACCUUUGGCAAAAGACUCUGCCAAGCUCUUUCAUAUGAGAGGAGCUGCUGCAGCGUUAGUUUUUGGUGCAGCAGUGCGUCACGCAUCUUUUAUCUCUCGUAAUAGAGCUUUGCGUGUUUCGUCUUUAGGUGGUUGAAGAGGUGGUUGGUGUUUCCUCCUCCAGCAACGACGGCUACACACACUCUUUGCAUAGUUUUGUCCUCUUCUUCCUCAUGUUGGGUGGGUCGGGCUGCCUCUGUUUGCUCGACACUGCCACUAAUCUCCGCGUCCGCCAUGACCACCACCAGUGAAGCUGUUUCUUCUUCGUCAAAACUAGGCCAAGCAGUCUGCUGCUGGACAACCUGGUGCUUAUUGAGAGCGCACCCAAACCUAACCAAUCAAACGGAGCGAACAACCUCCGCAUGACACGCUGGUGAAUAUAUGGAAACGCACCCAAAUGGAUGCGCUCUGGCUUUUCUGUUAGUGAGCGCAGACAACUACAUGCUGCCUCAGAGAGAUGUGGCAGACAUCUGCUCAAUCUCUCCAGUAUCGCAAAAUUUCUACCGGUCCAAGAUCCAAGAGUAAACUUUUUCAGAGGAUCUCAGAUACUCAAAGGGUCAUACUAUUAAACGUCCUUAUUUCUCAGGGCUGCACAGUCACUUUUCAGUCACUUGAGGCCUUCAUCAGAGCAGGUACAAAGUGUCUGCACAGCUGCCGCCACCAGCCUGGUCACAGAAUCGGUAAGGUUUCAGUAGAUAAAGUAUUAGGUGAAUAUAUUUACGCAGAUUUGACAUUCACGUAAAAUCAAACGUUAAAUAUGAAACUUAAAAACUCCCAAGACAGUCGAACAAGGAGAGAGGUCAAAUCCACUGUUCAGACCACGAUACUGAGUCACCUUAAACCCGUUUAAACCCACAGCAGCGAUUGUUUGGCGAAGUACACGACUGUCAUUUUCCACCCAUGAAUAGAUGUCUGAGUAUUGUUCAUCUUUUGUGCUGUAUAUCAGUCAUAUGUGGGUGAGCACCUUGUAAGUUAUCAUGCACACAAAACAUUGUGAACUUCGAAAGGGCAUGGCGAUGACGGUCUUUUCUUCGUAAGUGGACAAAUACCUUGUGAGCCGUGGUAAGUAUGAUGUCCUUGUGUGUCUUUAUUCCUCUCUGAUACUGUGAGUUCUCAUCUGAUUUUGUGGUGUCGUGAGUCCAGCUGCCCCUUUGUUUCCAGGAUCAGGGCGCUGGCGUUGAAUGGAGUAAAAUUGAUACUUACGUUUUAGGUGUGAGGACAUGUAACAAGGAGUAUCAGAUGUUUCAGACAAGCAGGAAGUUUUAGCGAUUAAAGGAAAGACAUACAUGAAACCUGGAGUUACUGGAUUAAGAAAAUUAUGUACUUGUAGCUUUCAAAACUGUGCUUUCUAAACCUCUGUAUUUUUUGACUGUGGGAUGCUUCCAGGUCUUAUAUAGGUAUCAGGGGAGUUGAUCUUAAAACUAAAUCUUAUUUACAUUAAAAAAUCAGGCACUGAACUUUACACACAGACCCAAGAGGCAACUUUAGCGAGAGAGAGAGGCAUAAAGUGAGAGGCACAUUACCAGCGACAGACAAACUUAUACUAACCACGCUUUAUAGUUCAUACCCAGGAUAUAAAUGUUCUUACUGCAAGGCAAAUAAAACGUUUCUUUAUCGCCAAGUCUCCUGCGUUUUGUUAACAGUAUGGAAACUCUGAUCUGUUAACAUGCAAAACUUGAAACGAAGGCACCCUGCAGCUACCAAACGUAUGUUUUGUUUUUAUGAAUAAGACCAUGAUGAGACUAAAAUAUUGGCAGUGGACCAGCAGACAUUUAAAAAAUCCACAUUUUCUCCAACUGAGGGCGUAAUCUGUCAAACUGCAUUCCUGAGACAGGCUGAGUUAUAACAUUGAGGGGUGCUGCAUUAACUCGGUCACUUAUCUGCAACAAGUGUGCUAUGGGUACAAAUUCUUACUGCAGUCAUCCAUCUUUCCCGUUUUUAUCGUAGGUUUCUUUUCCACGAUGUUUGUCAGUGACACAGCCAUGGCUACUGGGUGGCACCACUUUAAUAUUCAACAUUUGAUGUUGUGUUUAGCUUUUGCCGCUCAUCUCUUUGUGCCAAAGCUUUGAUUUAUCCUCGUUUGAUCAACUCUAAACCAUCAAAUGUGAAGAACACCGUGAAGUAGUCUAUCCAGCAUGUCUGUAUACAAGGACAGUUUUAAAAGUGCAACACAGCCCUUUUUAUUAUGAACACACACCUGUGUUUGCUUCAUUUUUAUUUGAAGUCGGCCAUUAAAUAUUAACGUUGUGGCUGCAGAAGGAGAUUUUUUUCUCUUGGCUUGGAGUCAGGGUCAGUCCUCCAUAUUUGCAUUUUUUCAUCUGUGCAUACUGAACUCUCCUUACCUUAGCAGAUCAGGCAGGGGAGUCUAUGGGAAACUAUUCAACCAAGAUAUGCAAGUUAAAGUGUCAAAAAGUGAAUUGCUGAAAGACGAUGAUUCAAAUGCAAUGACAGUUUAUUAACUAAACAAAAAUGUUCUGAGUUUACAUCGACUGAAUCUCAACUUCUGUUAUAAAAUAUUAAACAUGGCUGAAUGUUUUUUGUCUAAAGACUGAGCCGUAAUCUUAAAAAAGAUGGCAGAAUUAGCACUGGAAUCUGGUCAGUGGCAGUGAAGGGACCCCUGAUACAGUUGGUGGUCAUGAGGUCACCAUCGGCCACCCUGUUAUUCUAAAUAAUUGUUGGCUAUUCGCCUCAUCACAUGUAGAAUAUUCACAUUUGAUUGUCAAAAGCCAGCAUGACGAUAUCUUUUGUAAGAAUAAACUAGAGGACAAGAUAAGUAAAUACCUCACACAGGGCACCAAAAUUGACACAGAGUUCCUCACGGGAGCUUUAAUGUCAGUCUUUGUGGUAACCUUUCAAAGUAAAAAAGGUAUUAACAAGAACAUAGAUAUAGACAUAGAUAUUAUCCUCACAGGUAUGGGAUAACUAUGGGAUUAUGGGAUUAUUACACCCCAAUAAACGUGCCCCAGUCUGGAUCCACCACUGCUCUUAUGCAAGAGAUUCUGUCUGCUAUUGAUGUCACCAGAGCAACAUUUCAGCCUAUCAGGGUGGGGAGUGGAAAAGUUGUAUUUUGGCUUUAAUAGACAGGUUUCCUGUGUACAAUACUAGGUGUGUGUGCAACCAUGGGUCAAAAGCCUGCUUUGGAGUGAACUGAUAUCAAUGAAGAUGCCAUAUUGUUUGCAAGUUCUCCCUGACGCAACUGCAAUUAAAUGUAAUUUAAUUGAAAAAUCG
This is a non-coding RNA of Xyrichtys novacula (pearly razorfish), 13347 nucleotides long. The record is from the annotation of a GenBank genome assembly. Lineage: Eukaryota; Metazoa; Chordata; Actinopteri; Labriformes; Labridae.